UACGUAGGGUGCAAGCGUUGUCCGGAAUUAUUGGGCGUAAAGAGCUUGUAGGCGGUUUGUCGCGUCUGCUGUGAAAUCUCAAGGCUCAACCUUGAGCUUGCAGUGGGUACGGGCAGACUAGAGUGUGGUAGGGGAGACUGGAAUUCCUGGUGUAGCGGUGGAAUGCGCAGAUAUCAGGAGGAACACCGAUGGCGAAGGCAGCUCGCUGGGACGGUGACUGA
Molecule: ribosomal RNA, 221 nt
Filed under: uncultured bacterium
Lineage: Bacteria
Description: partial 16S ribosomal RNA
Rfam family: Bacterial small subunit ribosomal RNA
Source: RNAcentral